GAUGAACGCUGGCGGCGUGCCUAAUACAUGCAAGUCGAGCGAACAGACGAGGAGCUUGCUCCUCUGACGUUAGCGGCGGACGGGUGAGUAACACGUGGAUAACCUACCUAUAAGACUGGGAUAACUUCGGGAAACCGGAGCUAAUACCGGAUAAUAUAUUGAACCGCAUGGUUCAAUAGUGAAAGACGGUUUUGCUGUCACUUAUAGAUGGAUCCGCGCCGCAUUAGCUAGUUGGUAAGGUAACGGCUUACCAAGGCAACGAUGCGUAGCCGACCUGAGAGGGGGUAGGCCCACCGGGAAGUUGACCGGCGACACUGCGACUGAGGGACGGACGAGAGUGGGACUGUCCGCAAUAGGGGGAAAGCUUGCCGAAGGAGCGCAAGGGGGGGGAAGAAGCGCUUCGGACGGGAAAACGGUUUUAUGGGGGAAAAACAAUUGGGAAAGUAACGAAGCGUGUUUGGCGGGAACCGAUAAAGAAGCCCCGGCUAAAUACGUG
RNAcentral lists this ribosomal RNA (496 nucleotides) under uncultured bacterium. RNAcentral's name for it is "partial 16S ribosomal RNA". It matches the Rfam family "Bacterial small subunit ribosomal RNA", at positions 28 to 507 of the family's 1533-position model. The record is from RNAcentral.